UCAGUUCAGAUUGUAGGCUGAAACUCGCCUAUAUGAAGUCGGAAUUGCUAGUAAUCGCAGAUCAGCAUGCUGCGGUGAAUACGUUCCCGGGCCUUGUACACACCGCCCGUCACACCAUGAGAGUCGAUAACACCCGAAGCCUGUAGUCUAACCAUAAGGAGGACGCAGUCGAAGGUGGGAUUGAUAAUUAGGGUGAAGUCGUAACAAGGUAAC
Molecule: ribosomal RNA, 213 nt
Filed under: uncultured bacterium
Lineage: Bacteria
Description: partial 16S ribosomal RNA
Rfam family: Bacterial small subunit ribosomal RNA
Source: RNAcentral